GGGCGUCUACAUGCUUCACCAUGCCCCCGCCAGCGCAGACCACGCCUUCGCUCGCGAUGCCCUUGCCCUGCUCGCGUCCGCAGCCACGGCCGCCGCGUCAGCCCCGCCUUCCUCCCGCCCAUCCCCUCCGAUCAUCCCGCCUCCCCCCACGUCGCACACAACCCGCCAUCCACUCUCCUGCCCCAUCCCCGCCUCCGUCAUACGCGCAGAGCCCGCCUGAGAUCCGCUGCAACAAAUGAUGUCUCCCCCGUCCAGCUCGAUGCCCCGCCCCCACUAUCUCCGCUCUCUACUGCUCUCUACGCGCCGUCGGCAAAAAUGGCAUGGGAGAUCCGCCACCUCAACUCCCCAUUACCGCGGUCCCAUAUCUCCUCUCCCCAUUACUGUGGUCCAUGGAUUUCUCGAGUCAGUGGGAGGUCCGUCAUCCAUGGAAGGUCCGCCACCUCCUCCUCGGUCCGCAGCAAAAAUGGCGUGGGAGAUCCGCCAGCUCACCUCCUCCCAUUACCGCGCCAGCGCCUGAUAUGGAAGGUACAUUGAGACUGCAAUAGUCACCAAGAAGAGAUACAAUGAUCUAAAGCGGUACUUUAAUUGCACAUGCCCACGUUGUGUAAAGGGGUUCAGGUGCAAGAACCAAACAUGUGAUGGUUUUCUACUGCCCAACUCAGGUUGGUUGCCAAUCAAACGAAAAGUACCCAUUGAGUGGUUGUGGAGAAAUAGUUGAAAGUUGGUGGAUCAACCAAACAUAUAUUACGUCGAAAUUGGAGACUCAUUUUGUUUGAUCAGUUAUUAAUCAUAUAUGUUGUGGUUAUUAAUCUUAUAUGUUGUGUUUAUCUGACACUAUAGGUAAAAGGCUUAUACAUGCCAGAUUUAAAGUUUAAUGGUUGGAGCUCAAUUUGUUUUUAGUGCCACAAACACUUUAAAUGAUAUGGUAUUUUAAUUUCGGGGCACUAUUUUGAGGCCCCUCGUUG
Molecule: long non-coding RNA, 965 nt
Organism: Zea mays
Lineage: Eukaryota; Viridiplantae; Streptophyta; Magnoliopsida; Poales; Poaceae
Exons: 3
Source: RefSeq, a predicted model, not a curated record